Molecule: transfer RNA, 91 nt
Filed under: Pseudomonadota bacterium
Lineage: Bacteria; Pseudomonadati; Pseudomonadota
Description: Proteobacteria bacterium tRNA-Ser
Rfam family: tRNA
About the family: Transfer RNA (tRNA) molecules are approximately 80 nucleotides in length. Their secondary structure includes four short double-helical elements and three loops (D, anti-codon, and T loops).
Source: RNAcentral
GGAGAGGUGACCGAGCGGUUUAAGGUGGUGGUCUUGAAAACCAUUGUAGGGCAUAACCCUACCGGGGGUUCGAAUCCCUCCCUCUCCGCCA